CCGCCUUACAACAAUGAUCUAUAUCAUCAUUUGGACACUGUACUACACUCAAGGUUCUGUGGGUCAGGUUGUGACUCAGUCUGGAAAUCAGACAGUGGAGCCUGGUCAAACUGUUACUAUUGAAUGUAAACACACACCAGCAAUUAAUUGCUGGGAUUCAGAAGCAAGCAAAAAAUACUGCAUGUCCUGGUACCAUCAGAUUCCUGGAGAGGUUCCUAAACUCCUGAUCUAUCUCACAUCUGAUAGAGCAUCAGGAGUUUCCUCUAGAUUCAAUGGCAGUGAGAGUGGAAACCACAUAGAUUUUACUCUGACCAUCAGUGAAGUUCAGCCUGAAGAUUCAGGAGAUUAUUACUGUAUGGGGGAACGAAGUUCACUGUGGUACACUUUUGGUGGAGGAACAAGACUCUCAGUUGGAACUAACGCUCAGCCGACUCUAACGGUCCUGUCGCCCUCCAGAGAUGAGUUGAAUCAGGGUAAAGCUUCAGUCAUGUGUGUGGCCAGUAAGGGAUUCCCCUCUGACUGGAAGUUGAGCUGGAAGGUGGAUGGUAACAGCAGGAGCUCUGGUGUGAAUCUGAGUCCUGGUGUCCUGCAGAAGGAUGGACUGUACAGCUGGAGCAGCAGUCUGAGUCUCACUCACAGUGAAUGGAGCUCAGCGAAAACCAUCAGCUGUGAGGCCACACAGAGCUCUCAGAAUCCAGUCUCCAAAAUCCUCAACACACAGGAGUGUGAUGUACAAUGAGAGCACACACACAAACCGACACACCAAAAUCUUGUUAAAAAUUAAAAUUCAUUUGCAGAAGCCCUCUUGCUUUUUAACUGUUUGCAGUGCAUAUGACAGCAGGCUUGAAUGAUUUGCUGAGUCCUAUUGUGGUUGCAAAAAUAAAAGUAUUUU
Triplophysa rosa is the source of this 892-nucleotide non-coding RNA. The record is from the annotation of a RefSeq genome assembly. NCBI's taxonomy places the organism in Eukaryota, Metazoa, Chordata, Actinopteri, Cypriniformes, Nemacheilidae.